RNAcentral lists this ribosomal RNA (267 nucleotides) under uncultured bacterium. Its description in RNAcentral is "partial 16S ribosomal RNA". It matches the Rfam family "Bacterial small subunit ribosomal RNA", at positions 89 to 354 of the family's 1533-position model. The record is from RNAcentral.
UGGCGACCGGCGCACGGGUGAGCAACGCGUAUCCAACCUGCCCUUUACUAUGGGACAGCCCGUCGAAAGGCGGAUUAAUACCGUAUGUUGUCAUGUUGAUGCAUAUUUUCAUGACCAAAGGCUUCGGCCGGUAAAGGAUGGGGAUGCGUCUGAUUAGCUUGCCGGCGGGGUAACGGCCCACCGGGGCGACGAUCAGUAGGGGUUCUGAGAGGAAGGUCCCCCACAUUGGAACUGAGACACGGACCAAACUCCUACGGAAGGCAGCAG